Molecule: ribosomal RNA, 230 nt
Filed under: uncultured bacterium
Lineage: Bacteria
Description: partial 16S ribosomal RNA
Rfam family: Bacterial small subunit ribosomal RNA
Source: RNAcentral
ACGCUCGACACCUACGAGAGGCAGCAGUAGGGAAUCUUCCACAAUGGACGCAAGUCUGAUGGAGCAACGCCGCGUGAGUGAAGAAGGUUUUCGGAUCGUAAAGCUCUGUUGUUGGUGAAGAAGGAUAGAGGUAGUAACUGGCCUUUAUUUGACGGUAAUCAACCAGAAAGUCACGGCUAACUACGUGCCAGCAGCCGCGGUAAGUACUGAGGCGGGCGUGGCGAAGGACG